AUUGACAAGCACUGCACCGACUGCCGGUGGUGGCUCAGGUUUUGCGAGCACAGUUUGGGUAUCGCAAGUGCCGAACACGUGUCACCUGCACGUGCUCAACCAGAGUUAACGAACGUGAUCACGCAUGCAAUUAUACAGGUGCAGAUUUUCUUCUGAUGUACGCCGUAUUUUAUUCUAAGUUGCGUGGAUUAUGGUGCCUCGGAAUUGCUUGGUUAGCUUCAGCCAUGGAUACAGUUGUAUCUCCAACGUUAUUUUAUUAAAGUUAGCUGUAAUAUACUUGCAAGUAAUAAAAGCAAUGACCGUUUGCUUUAAUGAGCUCGUAACUCUUUUGUUUCUGUUUUAUGUUAUUUGUUUGUUUUUUUUUUAUUUUCUUCGCGCGUGUUUUGGCAUAUACUAUGAUAAUGGGAAAGACAGCUAACGUGCGCAUUGGAGAAAAGGCCGUAAUUGGGGAGGUGGGGAAGAGUAUGUUCGUUGGGUGAGGGGAAGGAGUCUUUUCGGGCCGUGGCCCAUGGUCGUGAUUGAUCGAUCGAAAUGACAACUUUGCCCCCAAGUGUUGAUCUUUUUGUUGGUAACUGGUUGAUUUUGAUGUUGAUUGAGGGUGCUGAAGUCAUUUCCUGUGCGAAAGCGAUUAUUGAGCAUCGGAUGGGAGUCCCCCCAAUUGGAUAUUACAGAUUUUUGGGAUUCAUAAGCUAAGAGGGCUGCUUUUGUGUCACAAGUAUGCAUUGUAUAGAUAAUGGCCUGCCUCUCAAGUCUUAUCUAUUAUACAUAACAUAAGGUGCAUGUUAAUUUUUUCAAGGGGCAGGUAAAGGAAAAGAAAAGAUAUCUUAUUUGAACUUAAGUUGUCAAUUAAAUAAAAUUAUUUAGCCAACAAAAAAAAAAAAUUACAUACAAAAGAGUAAUUAUCUGAUUGACGAUAUUGUUCAUGUUAUAAUCAACAAUAUUACCGUAUGAUGAUAUCUGAAUAACUUAUAAUUUUAAAUUAUUUUAAAAUAAUCAUCGCAAAUGUUCUUACUUGUAUUUAAGAAUGCUAAGAAGAAUAAACUUUGUGGCGUCAACAUAAUAUUUUGUCAUAAUUCAAUAUUUUCCUCAACAAAUAUUGACCUCUCUUUUUCCGUAUAUCACGAAAAAUAGCUCCUCUGCUGGGGAUGCUGCAACCACUCAAUUAGUAGCUCAUCUCAACUGAUAGGCACGCUUUCUCUGUUUUGCUGGCUGCUGGUUUCAGUAAAUUAACUCACGCGACAGAGACCAAAAUUGCGAGAAAUUAAAUUGGUUCUGUUUGCUUUUUUUUUGUGGGUUAGGUUUCGGUGAUGGAAAAGCACGUUACAUAGAGUAGAGUAGUAAUAAUGAUUAAUAAAUUAAAGCUCUGAUUUUUUUGGAACCCUAACCACCGUCACGACAAUUUAUCAUCAUCAUCAUUCAUUAUCAUCAUCUGUGUUUGAUGCUUGCCAAACACGGAUCUCUCUCUAAGAAACGCUUGCUCUAUUUAAAUUAAAUUAAAAGCUUCCAUCAGUUGACUCAUUUUGGCUCGGGAUGUGAUUGCUCGUGCUUUAAAAGUAUUAAGCAAAAUCAUUAGAUUAUAGCAGCACCUGCUCUCUUGCAAUAAAUUAUUAUGCAUAUUAAUUUUCUGUGACUGGAGCCCAUCAAGAUAUGUAGAAGACAGCAUCGGAGGAAAGAAGGAAUGAGAGAGUGCAACAUCCUGACUCGUGAAUGGGAAAUGGUUGGCAAUUAAAAAGAAAAAAAUUGACAAGCACUGCACCGACUGCCGGUGGUGGCUCAGGUUUUGCGAGCACAGUUUGGGUAUCGCAAGUGCCGAACACGUGUCACCUGCACGUGCUCAACCAGAGUUAACGAACGUGAUCACGCAUGCAAUUAUACAGGUGCAGAUUUUCUUCUGAUGUACGCCGUAUUUUAUUCUAAGUUGCGUGGAUUAUGGUGCCUCGGAAUUGCUUGGUUAGCUUCAGAUCUCUCCCCAUUUCAAAUCACUAACGACGUCGUCGUUUCUGUGUACGUUAGGGACGAGUUCGAUUAAGGAUGAAGAAUUGAAAUGAGA
Molecule: long non-coding RNA, 2050 nt
Filed under: Citrus sinensis (sweet orange)
Lineage: Eukaryota; Viridiplantae; Streptophyta; Magnoliopsida; Sapindales; Rutaceae
Description: long non-coding RNA (CSIN_LNC002876)
Source: RNAcentral